GAUUGUCGUAAGCCUUGGCCGUUUGUUGGUUUCCUGUGUUGCAUACCGAUCACCUGGAAUUGUUCGUUUCAAACGUCCCUUGUUCAUCAUGCGAAGGCGCGUUAUGCGUGCAUGUCGUUGAUGAACCACGAAGCUCUCAUUGCGGUCCGCCUCGGCCAUGUUCAUUCAUGUGUUGUACUCGGCCCGUGAUGGUUUGCCUGUACUCAUGGAUGCGGAAACCUUUGAGGGUAUGGGGCAUUGUCCCCUCUCUACCCAAAAUUAAGCGUUCACCGCUAACUAGCGAACGACCGUCGUG
RNAcentral lists this unclassified non-coding RNA (295 nucleotides) under Schizacme archeri. RNAcentral's name for it is "partial external transcribed spacer". The record is from RNAcentral. Lineage: Eukaryota; Viridiplantae; Streptophyta; Magnoliopsida; Gentianales; Loganiaceae.